Hevea brasiliensis (rubber tree) is the source of this 127-nucleotide small nuclear RNA. RefSeq annotates it as U11 spliceosomal RNA. The transcript has a single exon. NCBI's taxonomy places the organism in Eukaryota, Viridiplantae, Streptophyta, Magnoliopsida, Malpighiales, Euphorbiaceae. The record is from RefSeq and is a predicted model, not a curated record.
UAAAAGGGUCGGUUGGCUAAUUAUGCCACACUCGCCCUCAUUUGGUGGGUGCCGUAUGGCAAUCAAGACAUAUGGCCGACAAAAUUUAUGGGACUUAAAAGGGUUGGCUUGCGCGGCCGACCCUCCU